UACAGAGGUCUCAAGCGUUGCUCGGAUUCAUUGGGCGUAAAGGGUGCGUAGGCGGCGCGGUAAGUCGGGUGUGAAAUCCCUCGGCCCAACCGAGGAACUGCGCCCGAGACUGCUUCUCUUGAGUCCCGGAGAGGAAGGUGGAAUUCCCGGUGUAGCGGUGAAAUGUGUAGAGAUCGGGAGGAACACCGGUGGCGAAGGCGGCCUUCUGGACGGUGACUGACGCUGAGGCGCGAAAGCGUGGGGAGCAAACGGG
RNAcentral lists this ribosomal RNA (253 nucleotides) under uncultured bacterium. RNAcentral's name for it is "partial 16S ribosomal RNA". It matches the Rfam family "Bacterial small subunit ribosomal RNA", at positions 524 to 776 of the family's 1533-position model. The record is from RNAcentral.